This is a long non-coding RNA of Coccinella septempunctata (seven-spotted ladybird), 956 nucleotides long. RefSeq lists it as uncharacterized. The record is from RefSeq and is a predicted model, not a curated record. The transcript has 3 exons. NCBI's taxonomy places the organism in Eukaryota, Metazoa, Arthropoda, Insecta, Coleoptera, Coccinellidae.
GUUCAAAAUCUGCUUAACCUAUAUCGUAUGAACUGUCAAAUGAAUAUAAAAUAUUUAAAUGGAAUUUUUCUCUACCACUUAUUUAUAGUGUUGUGAAUUUCAAAAUAAGAAUGGAAUAUAAGAUAAAGCAAGGUUUAUUGGUGUCAUUUAUCGUUAUGGUUACCUAGCUUCUUAGCUAGGUCACGUUUCAUAAAAUCGAUAAGAAUUGUAAUACAUAAAUACUCUAACUCAUCUAUAUCGAUUUCAAAUGGAGCCCAGAAGAAAAUUCACACUUCAAGAUAUUCACAAAUUCAGUUUAGGUAGUUUUUAUUGCCUGGUAAAUCCACGCUGCAACGAAGAGUUUCAAACAUUCCUAAAGAAUACCAGAAGAACCUCCCAUAUGCCUACAUUACAAUUAUUCAAUAAAGCCAGGAAUUCAAAUGAGUAUAAAGAAGAGGAAUUCAAUGAUUUGUUAGAUGGGGUUGAUGAGUUUAAUGUUCACGAAUUGUAUAAACAAAGUACUGAUGAACAGAAGUUAAAGAAUAUUGCUGUGCAGUGUAGUACUAUAUUAGACAAGAAUGUUUAUAAUCCAUUCAUUACAUUCUUGAAAAACAUGAGGCAGUGAUCCAAAAAAGAAAUAGUUUUGGACUGUGGUGUUUAGUGCAAUAUCUUUUAUGGAACAUUAAAAAACAAGGACAAUUAAAUUAUUAUCAUCUAGUUUGAAUCAUCACUUGGAUAUAAGCAGUUCAUUAAAUACUGAAAUAAAUUUGUUCCUUGAAGAUGUGAAUUAUUCACAUGAUUGUUAACUUUGUAUAGUUUAUGAUGCAUAUGAUACAUAUAUUUUUUAUAGUAUUGAUAACGUCCAUUUUCCCAGAAUGUAGUGAAUAAAUAUUGAAUUUAUUUUCCUUUUUGAUCUUUUUCAGAAGCCAUAUUUUGUUUAUGGAGAGUGGAAAUCCUCAAUGGGUCUACCCGUAUCU